Paramuricea clavata is the source of this 147-nucleotide non-coding RNA. Lineage: Eukaryota; Metazoa; Cnidaria; Anthozoa; Malacalcyonacea; Plexauridae. The record is from the annotation of a GenBank genome assembly.
UCUGCAUGGCCAUGGGUGUAGGAAGAUCGGUAUUUUUGGGGGGCUCAUAAAGCAAUCAAUUUCAAAAGAAGUAAAUGAUGCAGAACACGAAUAUAUGAAUAUGAGCCCCCCAAAAUAUCGAUCUUCCUACGCCCAUGGCCAUGCAGA